GACGAACGCUGGCGGCGUGCUUAACACAUGCAAGUCGAGCGGUAAGGCCCUUUCGGGGGUACACGAGCGGCGAACGGGUGAGUAACACGUGGGUGACCUGCCCUCAGCUCUGGGAUAAGCCUGGGAAACCGGGUCUAAUACCGGAUAUGACUCCAUGACGCAUGUUGUGGGGUGGAAAGCCUUGUGCGGCUGAGGAUGGGCCCGCGGCCUAUCAGCUUGUUGGUGGGGUGAUGGCCUACCAAGGCGACGACGGGUAGCCGGCCUGAGAGGGCGACCGGCCACAUCCGGGAUGAGACACGGCCCAGACUCCUACGGGAGGCAGCAGUGGGGAAUCUUGCGCAAUGGGCGAAAGCCUGACGCAGCGACGCC
This 369-nucleotide ribosomal RNA is filed under the name uncultured bacterium. Its description in RNAcentral is "bacterial SSU rRNA". It matches the Rfam family "Bacterial small subunit ribosomal RNA", at positions 28 to 398 of the family's 1533-position model. The record is from RNAcentral.